Molecule: ribosomal RNA, 253 nt
Filed under: uncultured bacterium
Lineage: Bacteria
Description: partial 16S ribosomal RNA
Rfam family: Bacterial small subunit ribosomal RNA
Source: RNAcentral
UACGUAGGGUGCGAGCGUUAAUCGGAAUUACUGGGCGUAAAGCGUGCGCAGGCGGUUCGUUGUGUCCGAUGUGAAAGCCCCGGGCUUAACCUGGGAACGGCAUUGGAAACUGGCGGGCUGGAGUGCGGCAGAGGGGGGUGGAAUUCCGCGUGUAGCAGUGAAAUGCGUAGAGAUGCGGAGGAACACCGAUGGCGAAGGCAGCCCCCUGGGCCGACACUGACGCUCAGGCACGAAAGCGUGGGGAGCAAACAGG